GAUGAACGCUGGCGGCGUGCCUAAUACAUGCAAGUCGAGCGAACGGACGAGAAGCUUGCUUUUCUGAUGUUAGCGGCGGACGGGUGAGUAACACGUGGAUAACCUACCUAUAAGACUGGGAUAACUUCGGGAAACCGGAGCUAAUACCGGAUAAUAUUUUGAACCGCAUGGUUCAAAAGUGAAAGACGGUCUUGCUGUCACUUAUAGAUGGAUCCGCGCUGCAUUAGCUAGUUGGUAAGGUAACGGCUUACCAAGGCAACGAUGCAUAGCCGACAUGAGAGGGUGAUCGGCCACACUGGAGCGGAGACACGGUCCAGACUCCUACGGGAGGCAGCAGUAGGGAAUCUUCCACAAUGGGCGAAGACCUGACGGAGCAACGCCGCGUGAGUGAUGAAGGUCUUCGGAUCGUAAAACUCUGUUAUUAGGGAAGAACAUAUGUGUAAGUAACUGUGCACAUCUUGACGGUACCUAAUCAGAAAGCCACGGCUAACUACGUG
RNAcentral lists this ribosomal RNA (497 nucleotides) under uncultured bacterium. RNAcentral's name for it is "partial 16S ribosomal RNA". It matches the Rfam family "Bacterial small subunit ribosomal RNA", at positions 28 to 507 of the family's 1533-position model. The record is from RNAcentral.